CUUACUUAGAAAAUUUAUUGACGGAAAUAAUACUUAACACUAAGUGAAACUAGAGGUGAAGGUCUUUGAUUGUAUAUUAUUAAAAUGUGUGCCAUCAUGGUGAUCGCGCCAAAUUGGGGCGUUAAAGGGGUGCAACCACGGCAUUUCUUACGCGUCACCCAAUACUAUGACUCUUGGGAUCCCACAUAUAUGACUCAGUAUUGGGGUUAUAUAUGUGCAAGCAGACGGAAUUUUUCCAUUGUAUUGCAUGUGAUUGUGACUGUAAGUGAGUGUUAUAACACUUAGUGUUCAGUGUACGAGGCAUCAGAUGAUGAUUAUGGAACAAUAUUUCGAAUUCUGUGGUGCAUUCCGGUUGUUCAGAAGUAUUGAAAAUGAGUGACAAAAACGGCGCACACAAAGUGCCUUGGAAAAUAGAACAGAUACUGGCAGAUUUCAACAACUUGACAGCUCACAAAAUAAAUUCGCCUCAUGACCAUACUAAACUUUUAGAUAUCUAUCUUGAUAAAAUUAUGCCUGAAAACGUACCCCAGUCCAGCUCAUUAGAUUUUUCAAAAAUAAAGGAACUGACCAAAUUUUCGAACAUCGGUGUGCAGAACGAAAUUCAGAGAUUGAUCUCAAGCGAACCAGACAUCGUUCUAAUUAUUGCUCUUAAAAGUGUGAAGAACGUGUACGAUCUCUAUUUUGUUUCUGAGAAAAUAGAUAAAAAGAACAAGAAAACGAAUAAGAAAUCAAAACCCAAACUGAGGAUAAAUGUCAUACGCGCGCACGUGUUUGAUGACGCCAUGCGUGACUGCCACGUGCACUGGUUCCAACUGACGUACGUGUACGUGUACCCGCGUAACUGCCGGAUGUUGAUCGGGAUUCCCGUGUACCAGGGAGGAUACAUACACAACAAGAAUGAGAAGAAUAGUCAGAUACCGUAUUAGAAAGUAUUUCGCAAGGAUGACAAAUCGGAAAUUGUAAACAAAUUUCAUAAUAUUUUGCUUAAGGUUUUUGUUUCCUCUUCGUAAAUAUCACUGUAUUAAAAAGUGUUUCCCAAUGAUGAUUAUCCGGAAAUAAUAAAAGUUUUCAUAAGAGUUUUAAAGGACAUCGGACACUAUCUAAAUACAUUUGCCUAUUUUUAUUGUUCGUUUUAAGCAAUGAAUAGCAAUAUAAUUAUAUAUAAUCGAUUUUGGUUGAAGUUAACUUUAUUCAUGCCUUCUACGUAUUUGUUUUGUGGGUUUGUUUUACAUUUUUUCCCGUUCAUGAACAUUUCAAUUAAAACAAUCUGUUGCAUAUUUCUUAUUUCAUCAAAAUGAUGUGCUCAUUUUUUUACUUCCCGUAUAUAAACAUGUUAAUUAGAUAAAACACAAAUCUAUGAUUAAACCAGUUUUGUCAUUUAAAGGUCCAAAAGGUAGAGAAUCAUCACUAAAUAUAACAAUUGUACAUGUAUCUGCCAUGUUCUUGAUAGUCCACGCAUGUUAAACCACACUGCGAUUUUCAUUGGAAGUUAUUAAACCAGUGAUCAACUUUUAUCCAGGUUAAUACAACUGAGUUGUUUUAUAUAUAUAUGACCAUUAACAUAUUUUGUUUUGGAUAUUCCUUAAGUAUUGGAUUUAUUUUUGUUUAAUCUGACAUCACGGUGUCAUACAGUAUCAUACAAGGGGCAUUUAGUAUGUAAUGUGGUACAUGUGUAUAUCUAUUUUUAAUUUCUUACCUCAUUGUAAUAAUCUAGCUUCAUUUUAGGUGUCCUAGAUUUAUUUUUCCCUUUUGGUAUUUUUAGAAUGUAUUUUUUUCUAAUUAUUGCAUAUAUAGAAUUUAAGAGUAAACAAGAUUUGGAUAAAAAUUGAGAAGAAUUCCUUGAAUAUUUUUGUGUUCUUAUUUGGUAUACAAGGGCGAACUUUUCUGAUCAUGGUUAUUUGGUUAACAUUUAAGUAUCAAUAAAAUUUUCACCAGUGCUAAAAAAUAUUUUAUGGAUUAUAUAACUCUGAAGUAUGUUACAGUUUAAAGCUAAUCUCACCUGAUUCAGAUAAGACUAUUACAAAAGUGAAGUUUUAGUGAUUUCCCUUAAGCCUCUUAAAGUUUCGUUUUGUAUAGGUUGUCCGAUAUAGGGAGUUACAUAUAUUUGCAAACAUAACUCUCAACAUAGCACAACUAUUGUAUAUAUAUACAUGUAUACCCUUUAUUUCUGCUUAUCUGUGAUUAAACAUAGAUCGUUAUUGCCAUGUUUAUUCAAUUAUUAGAUUUACAUUUUAAAAUAUUUUGAUUUACUGAACUUAUGAAGUUGAUGUAUUUGGGUAUUUGAUAUUUAUUUAAUUUUUGGUUGUUAAGUUUUGCAAUUUUUAUGCAUGGAUUACCUGCAAACACUUUAUUGUAUAUUUUUUGUCCACAUGGGCUAUGUCCUUCUGAAUAUUCUUUAAAUGAAUCUUGAAUCUUGAAUCUAUAAACCUUAUGUGGGAAUUGCUUGUUUAAAAUAUACUUAUUCAGUGUGUUCAAUGUUGCAUCUUUAUAUAGUUGUGUGUACUUUACAAAUACCACGCUUAGUAAAGCUGUUUUGUGAUUUUGUUUUACUCUUGGCAUUAUUCUUUAUUCUAGGUAUUUAGAUUAUGGCAUUAAUUAUUUGAAAUUGAUUUGUAAAACUGUUCAAUGGUAAAUAUAUAAGGAAUAUGUUAGUCGGGUGAUGCGUGAUGUUGUAUCGUGAAUAUGUAUCGCACGAGGCCCAAGACUUCUUCCACAAACAACAAGAAGUAAUACAACACCACGAAACAACCGACUUGCAUAUUUUUUUACUUUUUUAUAAUAUAUCUUCAAACUAUUUCUGAAUAAAAACAGCAAACAA
Molecule: long non-coding RNA, 2818 nt
Organism: Mya arenaria
Lineage: Eukaryota; Metazoa; Mollusca; Bivalvia; Myida; Myidae
Exons: 2
Source: RefSeq, a predicted model, not a curated record